RNAcentral lists this ribosomal RNA (427 nucleotides) under uncultured beta proteobacterium. RNAcentral describes it as "bacterial SSU rRNA". It matches the Rfam family "Bacterial small subunit ribosomal RNA", at positions 355 to 774 of the family's 1533-position model. The record is from RNAcentral. Lineage: Bacteria; Pseudomonadati; Pseudomonadota; Betaproteobacteria.
UAGGGAAUAUUGGACAAUGGGCGAAAGCCUGAUCCAGCCAUGCCGCGUGAGUGAAGAAGGCCUUCGGGUUGUAAAGCUCUUUUAGUCGGAAAGAAAGAGUCGCAAUGAAUAAUUGUGAUUUAUGACGGUACCGACAGAAAAAGCACCGGCUAACUACGUGCCAGCAGCCGCGGUAAUACGUAGGGGGCGAGCGUUAAUCGGAAUUACUGGGCGUAAAGGGUGCGCAGGCGGUUUUGCAAGUCAGAUGUGAAAGCCCCGGGCUUAACCUGGGAAUUGCGUUUGAAACUACAAGGCUAGAGUGCAGCAGAGGGGAGUGGAAUUCCAUGUGUAGCAGUGAAAUGCGUAGAGAUGUGGAAGAACACCGAUGGCGAAGGCAGCUCCCUGGGUUGACACUGACGCUCAUGCACGAAAGCGUGGGGAGCAAACA